This 484-nucleotide ribosomal RNA is filed under the name uncultured soil bacterium. RNAcentral's name for it is "bacterial SSU rRNA". It matches the Rfam family "Bacterial small subunit ribosomal RNA", at positions 26 to 506 of the family's 1533-position model. The record is from RNAcentral.
AGAUUGAACGCUGGCGGCAUGCCUUACACAUGCAAGUCGAACGGCAGCACGGGAGCAAUCCCGGUGGCGAGUGGCGAACGGGUGAGUAAUACAUCGGAACGUGCCCAAUCGUGGGGGAUAACGCAGCGAAAGCUGUGCUAAUACCGCAUAAGAUCUACGGAUGAAAGCAGGGGAUCGCAAGACCUUGCGCGAAUGGAGCGGCCGAUGGCAGAUUAGGUAGUUGGUGAGGUAAAGGCUCACCAAGCCUUCGAUCUGUAGCUGGUCUGAGAGGACGACCAGCCACACUGGGACUGAGACACGGCCCAGACUCCUACGGGAGGCAGCAGUGGGGAAUUUUGGACAAUGGGCGAAAGCCUGAUCCAGCCAUGCCGCGUGCAGGAUGAAGGCCUUCGGUUGUAAACUGCUUUUGUACGGAACGAAAAGUACUCUUUACUAAUAAAGAGGAUCAUGACGUACGUAAGAAUAAGACACCGACUAACUACGU